UUUCCGUAGGUGAACCUGCGGAAGGAUCAUUAAAAAAUGUGGUACCAAUUAUUGUACUAAUUAAUCAUCCUACCCUUUGUGAAUUUGUUGUAACGAAUUUUUUUUAAAUGGGUCUUUCCCUAAGUUGGAUUGUAGUAAAUACAAAAAGACUUAGGGGAAUGACUUUUUUAAAAGACUUUUUUUUAAUUAAAACUUUUUGUAUUCAUUUGUCUAAAAUUUAUUUUUAUAAUAUAAAACAACUUUUGACAAUGGAUCUCUUGGUUCUCGCAACGAUGAAGAACGCAGCAAAAUGCGAUAAGUAGUGUGAAUUGCAGAAUACGUGAAUCAUCGAAUCUUCGAACGCAUAUUGCACUUUUUAGUUUACUAAAAAGUAUGUCUGUUUGAGUAUCAGUAAAAUAUUCUCACAAACAUAUAUUGUUUGUGGUAUGAGUGUUUACAACGAUAAACAAGUUGUUCACUUUAAAUUCUUUUAUGUAAUUUUUACCAAUUCAUAAAUUAAAAUGGAUAAAAUUUUCCUUUAACGAGGAAUAACCUAAACAAUUUAAAUUUUUUGGAUUAUAAACAUCAUAAAGGAAUCUAUACAUAAAUAACUUGAUCUCAAAUCAGAUAAGAGUACCCGCUGAACUUAAGCAUAUCAAUAAGCGGAGGAAAAGAAACUAACAAGGAUUCCCUUAGUAACGGCGAGUGAAGCGGGAAGAGCUCAAAUUUGAAUCUUCAAGGUUUGACCUUGACGAAUUGUAGUUUAUAGAAGUGUUUCUGUUGGAGUUUUGGUAAAAGUUCUUUGGAAUAGGACAUCAUAGAGGUGAGAAUCCGUAUUUGACCAUGACUUUCCAGCUGUGUGAUACACUUUCAAAGAGUCGGAUUGUUUGGGAAUGCAGUCCAAAAUGGGUGGUAAAUUUCAUCUAAGCUAAGUAUUGGCGAGAGACCGAUAGCGAACAAGUACCGUGAGGGAAAGAUGAAAAGAACUUUGAAAGAGAGUUAAACAGUACGUGAAAUUGUCAAAGGGAAGCGUUUGACACCAGUGUUGUUUUCUCGAAAAUCAAUUAAUGAGUUCUUGUUUUAAGUUAUUGUGACUUUAUCAGCGCAUUUCUUAUUUUACUUGACUCAUUGAAUGCACUUUUCGUUUAACAAGUCAACAUCAAUUUCUUUGGUGGUAAAAAGUUAAAGGAAGGUGGCUUGGACUUCGUUCAAGUGUUUAUAGCCUUUUUCUAUGCCAUCGGAGAGAUUGAGGUCUGCAGCGUAGAUCCUUCGGGUUAGAUACCUUUGUGCUAAGUUAUAGUUUUUAUAGACUACUUGUUGACUAUAAUUAACCCUGCAAUUUACUCGCUUAGGCUAUUUUACCUACGCUUAGGAUGUUG
Molecule: unclassified non-coding RNA, 1358 nt
Filed under: uncultured Neocallimastigales
Lineage: Eukaryota; Fungi; Neocallimastigomycota; Neocallimastigomycetes; Neocallimastigales
Description: partial contains small subunit ribosomal RNA, internal transcribed spacer 1, 5.8S ribosomal RNA, internal transcribed spacer 2, and large subunit ribosomal RNA
Rfam family: Eukaryotic large subunit ribosomal RNA (bases 593-1358)
Source: RNAcentral